UACGUAGGGGGCAAGCGUUGUCCGGAAUCAUUGGGCGUAAAGAGCGCGUAGGCGGCCCUGUAAGUCCGCUGUGAAAGUCAAAGGCUCAACCUUUGAAAGCCGAUGGAUACUGUGAGGCUAGAGUCCGGAAGAGGCGAGUGGAAUUCCUGGUGUAGCGGUGGAAUGCGCAGAUAUCAGGAGGAACACCAAUAGCGAAGGCAGCUCGCUGGGACGGUACUGACGCUAAGGCGCGAAAGCGUGGGGAGCGAACAGG
Molecule: ribosomal RNA, 253 nt
Filed under: uncultured bacterium
Lineage: Bacteria
Description: partial 16S ribosomal RNA
Rfam family: Bacterial small subunit ribosomal RNA
Source: RNAcentral